GUUUAUUCAAAAUACAUUUCAUUGGAUAAUCAACCUCUUCGAUUCUGUUUUUCUCUCGUUUCAGUUUCCAGUCCUUCAGCACUAUCUGGUGUGGCGCUUCUUCGUGGAUGGUGGGCAUUGACUUAUUUUCAGUCCAUCAACGCUAUCCGGUUGACAGUUCUUCUGCCGUUGGACAUUGCUGUAUUCAUCGUAUCUGGACUUCGUUGCUUCCCAUUAUUUUUUCUGCCUUUGUUCUGUUUUGUCGCAGCUUGAAAGAGGAAAUGAUGCAAUGGGAAGGGGGUUUUAUAGUACCUAACUUUUUUCUGAUUGGUUGUUUUUCUGUGCUGCUGUGUAGUUCUAGUAAAGAGAGACUAAAGCAAAUACUCGCCUCCUGUCAUUAAUAAAAUUAAGAUUAUAGGUACACUAAAGCUAGCAUAAUCUACAAUUUACCCUGUUCAUGUUCAAAUUGAAUUUAUGUUUCUUUCAACUGUUUUUGUAACGAAUAUAAUAAUAUCUUGUCUUUCCUAAUCUCAUCUGCCCACUUUCUCCAUGGAAACUCAUUUGUUUGUGAAACAUUUAAUUGAAUAGGCAUGAUAUCUAUCACUUGUAUAGGACUCUUCGAUAUAUUAACUUGAGUUCCUUAUAUAUGUAUUAUUAGUGGAC
Pelobates cultripes (western spadefoot toad) is the source of this 642-nucleotide non-coding RNA. The record is from the annotation of a GenBank genome assembly. Lineage: Eukaryota; Metazoa; Chordata; Amphibia; Anura; Pelobatidae.